CCUACGGGAGGCAGCAGUGAGGAAUAUUGGUCAAUGGACGAGAGUCUGAACCAGCCAAGUAGCGUGAAGGAUGACUGCCCUAUGGGUUGUAAACUUCUUUUAUAUGGGAAUAAAAUGUUCCACGUGUGGGAUUUUGUAUGUACCAUAUGAAUAAGGAUCGCCUAACUCCGUGCCAGCAGCCGCGGUAAUACGGAGGAUCCGAGCGUUAUCCGGAUUUAUUGGGUUUAAAGGGAGCGUAGGUGGUUUGUUAAGUCAGUUGUGAAAGUUUGCGGCUCAACCGUAAAAUUGCAGUUGAAACUGGCAGUCUUGAGUACAGUAGAGGUGGGCAGAAUUCGUGGUGUAGCGGUGAAAUGCUUAGAUAUCACGAAGAACUCCGAUUGCGAAGGCAGUUCACUGGACUGCAACUGACACUGAGGCUCGAAAGUGUGGGUAUCAAACAGGAUUAGAUACCCCGGUAGUC
Molecule: ribosomal RNA, 460 nt
Filed under: uncultured bacterium
Lineage: Bacteria
Description: partial 16S ribosomal RNA
Rfam family: Bacterial small subunit ribosomal RNA
Source: RNAcentral